GUCGUCAGCUCGUGUCGUGAGAUGUGGUUAAGUCCGCAACGAGCGCAACCCUUGCCUUUAGUUGCCAUCAUUCAGUUGGGCACUCUAGAGGGACUGCCGGUGUCAAACCGGAGGAAGGUGGGGAUGACGUCAAGUCCUCAUGGCCUUUAUGCCCAGGGCUACACACGUGCUACAAUGGGCGGUACAAAGAGCAGCGAGCUCGCGAGAGUAAGCAAAUCUCAAAAAGCCGUCCUCAGUUCGGAUUGGAGUCUGCAACUCGACUCCAUGAAGUUGGAAUCGCUAGUAAUCGCGGAUCAGCAUGCCGCGGUGAAUACGUUCCCGGGCCUU
Molecule: ribosomal RNA, 327 nt
Filed under: uncultured Syntrophaceae bacterium
Lineage: Bacteria; Pseudomonadati; Thermodesulfobacteriota; Syntrophia; Syntrophales; Syntrophaceae
Description: bacterial SSU rRNA
Rfam family: Bacterial small subunit ribosomal RNA
Source: RNAcentral